Long non-coding RNA from Mus musculus (house mouse), 8311 nucleotides. RefSeq annotates it as predicted gene, 54127. Lineage: Eukaryota; Metazoa; Chordata; Mammalia; Rodentia; Muridae. The record is from RefSeq and is a predicted model, not a curated record. The transcript has 2 exons.
UAUUGACUUGCCCAAAAUUUUGUGGUGAAGUGGCAGUAAUUGUAGAAUCGAGUCUGGAAGUUUCUGAGUUUUUAAAAGCAGGAAGUAUAGCAAGAUAACUGAUUCAUUAAGUAUUUUAAAAUAAUUCUUGAAUUUUUCACUUUUCUAAUCUAUAAUAGUUGGUUCUAAGACAGAAUUUUCCUUGAUUUGACAUUCUGAUAACAUGGUUGAUUUUCUUGCUCACUCCUGUUUAAGUCGAGGCUUUUCUUUGUCCUUAAUAAAUAUCCACUGAGCAGACAGCAGGAGCUGUCUGUAGAUUUUGUAAUCUCACAUUAUUCAGCUAAGAACUGACUGUAUAAAGGUGGCAGCAUAUUGGAGACUCUAAGGACUGCAGUUCUCCCUUGUCUGUUGCUUUGCUUUCAGCCAUUUUGUGUCCCAGAUUCAACUACGAUCUAAAAAUAUUAAAAGGAAAAUUGCAGAAAUAAGCAACUUGUAAGUUUAAAAUUAUGUAACAUUCCAGAUAGCUUGGCGAAAUCUGCCUCUUCCAACCUAGACUGUUGAUCAUCCUUUUGUUCAGUGUCUGUACACUGUAUGUGCUACCUACUUUAUUGGUUUGCUGUUGUGAAAUGGAGUGCUGCUGUGCUUACAUUGUCACGGUGCUUUGCUGUGUCUCACUCAUGAGGGCAUCGCUUCACAUUACAUCAUCACAGGAAGAGGAAUGAAUGUAGCAUGGGAAGGGGUCUUGAGGAAAGAAACAAAGUUCACAUAGGCUUUUAUUAAAAUACAUUGUAAUUGUCCUGUUUUAUUACUGUCGUUAAAACAUUUAUUUUCUUUUUUGUUGUUUUGCUUUGUUUUGUUUUUCUUGUAGUUGUGCACUGGAAAAAGAAUACCUAUAGAAUUGGGUAGUAACUAUGGUUUCAAAAACCCGUGGAAAAUCUUUGUGUGUACCCCUAUGGAUAAGGGGGAUAAUGGUUAAAUCUAUUGAGUAUGGCACAUGGCUCCUACUGCAUACUGAAAAAAACCUAAAGUUUAGCACUUGCUGGUGAGGAGAAAGUCAGCAAAGCCUGGACAGAAGUGAGCCUCGUUAACACCAUAAAGCACACGGAGUAAAAUAGCCAGUGUCCUGUCUGCAUGCUGUGCUUUACACACCUUCCUCCAAGGUGAAGGAGAGCGCCAAGAUGUUUGCUCUUUCUUCUGCUUCUUGAUGGGGAAGUGGAGGUCCAACAGAAAAAUAAGACAAGAAAAAGUAAAAUACAUAAAAAAUGGAAAGCAAAGAAUAAAACUGUAUUUGCCAAUGGCAUGACUGUAUAUAUAGGAAACAUUAAGUAAUCUGUUUUAAGCCCAUUGGAAUCAUUAAGUGAGCUAAGCAGGACUUCAGGAAAGAAUGCCAUGGUGUUGACCAAGGUUUGAAGAUGACUCCCAGUGACCCUGGCUUUUUAAUUGUCUUCCUCCUCUGUGUGAUAAAACCUGUGACUAUGAUGGUGUACCCCAUGAUUAUGUAUAUUUCAUGGCAAUGGGAGUUUGUGCAUAUAAUUACAGUUAUUUUAAGGCAAUCAAAAUGCAGGCGAUGUUCAGAAAGCUGACCUAAACACAGGGGCUCUGUAAGUGUGCACUACAACCCAGAGAUAAAGAGAGUAGCUUAUUAAACACUACUCUGCUAAGAGAACAGUUUCUGGAUAUGCUUGGAUUUGUCUGAGACAAAUCUUUUAACAUUUUUUUGUGAUUCAGAUAGAAAUAAGAGUCUGGGGGCUGUGAUGGGGCUCUGGUCAUUUGGCAAUGUAUUUGAUAUACCAAUUUCUAUCCUAACAAAAUUCAACUCCUACUGCACAGGAGCUCUGUUUAGCUUAUUAGCACAAACAUAGAUCUGCUACGUGUCAUGCAAGUGGUAUGGCUCAGAGUGCCAGUUUGCUAAAGGUCAUUCACAUAGUCCUGCUAACCUUGCAAAGAAACUUAAAGCUGAUUGGGUGAGCCAGGUAUUAUUGCACAUACCUAUAAUUCUUGCACUUGAGGGUAGAAGCACAAUAAUCAGAAAUUCAGGGUCAACCCCAGCUACAUAGUAAGUUUGAGGCCAUUGUGGGCUACAUAAAACUCUGUCUUAAAAGUAGACAAACAAAAUAUAGGCUAAUUGCUCUAUACCCUACCCAGCUAUUUCCCUUUCACAUUUUUUUCAUCUUUCAGCUAGCAAGCCAACUCCAUCUGGCUCUCUUAUCCGGCAUAAAAUACUUUGCUUUUUAUACUCCUUUUUUUCUCUCUCUCUAAUUUUUUUUCUCUCAAAGAACAUUGGCUUUGCAGGAUCUCUGUGUCCCAGCCAUUCAAGAGCUGGAAAUAUUCUACAUGCUUUGAUUGUAACCCCCUCCCCUUUUUAAGACUUAUUUUUAUUUUCUGUGUAUCAAUAUUUUGCUUGUGUAUAUAUUUGUGUAUCACAUGCAUGUCUGCCUAGUGUCUAAGGAGGCCAGAAGAAAGUGUUGAGAGUCCUGGAAUUGGAGUUACAGAUGGUUGUGAGAUUACAUGUAGGUGCUAGGAAUCAAAUCCAGGUUCAAGAGCAUCAAAUGCCAGUGAGCCAGCCAUCUCUCCAGCCUCUUCAUUGUAAACAAACACUCUAUUCCUGUAUUUUCAUGGGUCUACCUUUUGACUGUCUUUCAGUCAAAUUCCAAUUGUUCUUGGUGCACUGAUCACUAGUUUAGCAGAGGAAAACUACAUCUCUUGUCUAUAGCUUACCCUGAAAAAAAAAAAACCACUCCCUCUGAAAGAAUAACACUGGUUUGUUUUUUAAAGAUAAAACUAAAAUAAAUUCAAUCAGUAACUUAACCACAGAUGUGCAAGUCCCAGUGUAAAAUCACAAGUAUUGUGGAAAACCAUGGCAACCUAACUCCUCCAAAAAUCACUAAUCCAGGCAGGGCGUGGUGGAAAAUACAUGGUGCGGAUCUCUGUCAGUUCCAGGCCAGCCAAGAUGCAGUGAGAUUUUGUCAUAAAAAAGAAGAAAGUUGCUAAUCCCUUAGUGAUGGCCUACAGUAAGAGAACAUCACGUGAAAUGCUAAAGAACUCAAAGAAUGGCUAUAAGUAUGCUCAAAGAUGGGCUAGGUGUGGUGGCACACACCCUUAAUCCUAGCACUUGGGAGACAGAGGAGGCAGAUCUCUAUGAGUUCAUACUCAGCCAGGACUACAUAGUGAGACCCUGUCUUAGAGAGGGGAAGAAAAUAAAUUAAUUAAACAAACAAACAAACAAACAAAUUAGAAAAAAGACAGAGAUUCCUGAAUGAAUUCUAAGAAAACAGAAAACAGCUGAAUGGAAUAAGAAAGCUGAUACAGGAGCCAGUGACAUGGCACAGGAUAAGAAUAUUUGUCAUCACACCUGACAACCUGAGUUUGAUUACUGAAACUUACAUGGUGGAAAAAGAAAAACAAUUUCCACAGGUUGUCCUCUGACCUCAACAUGUAUGUAGCAUGUACAUAAAAAUAAAUGUAAAAAUGUUUUUAGUUAAGACAGUCAAUACAGUCUAUGAAAGAGCCAAUUCAAUAAUGAGAAAUACUGAAGAACAAAUAAAUUGAAAUUCUGGAAUUUAAAAACACAAUAAGAUGAAUAGAAGAUUCAUGGAAUACCUCAUGAAUAUAAGUGAGUGAUCAAGGAGAGGAGAGCAUAUCAGAAUUUGAAAACAAGGUAGAGAAGUUGGGACAAUUGAACAUGGACAAAGAUUAAUAAGUUAAUAAGAAAAUAAGAGCAGUACUUUCAAGAUGUAUGUGAUACUGUGAAGACCAGACCUAAGAAUUAUGGGCAUAGGGAAAGGAAAUUUUCAUUCUAAAGACAUAAAGAUUUUAUAAAUUCAUUGUAAAGACUGACUUUACCAUUUCAGAAAAUUCAGAACAUUUCAGAAAAUUCAGAACAUUUCCCAAAAUUAGGGGAAAAGAUGCCAAUCCAGAUACAGGAAGCAUUUAGAAUGUGAGAGUAGAAAAGAACCUCCCACAUCCCAGCAUGACUGAAUCACUAAUACAAUGAACAAAGAAAAUAUGCCAGGCCAGAGAGGUGGCGCAGUGGAUGGAGCAGAGGCUUGAGGAUUGAGUUCAGUUAACCACGCAUGUUACAGACUGGGAGUGGCGUGUGCUUGUAAUUCCAGCACUGGACAGACAGGCAGUUCCCAGAUUCUCUGGCAUGCUUGCCUAGCCUACCUUGUGAGCUCCAGGGCAGUGGAAGACCCUGUCUUGGCUGGUGGAAGGUAAUGAGUCAUCCUAGUUGGUGGUUCACAGUUCACAUUGUCCCCUUCUCACUACUGCACUUGACCAGUCUAAAAAAACUGUCUUUAUGAUAGAGUGGAUAGCACCAGAGGAACAACACCCACGGUUGUUACUCUAGUCUUCAUACAUGUGCACACAAAUGAAAUGUGCAUGUGUACACACAGAAAGAAAAUAUUGAAAGCCUCAAGGAACACCUUAUUUUUGAGAUUAUAAUAUAGUCACAACAUUCCUACCUUUUCUUUCCUCUCUCCAAAUCUUUCCAUAUACCCCUUUUUGCUCUCUUUCAAAUUCAUGGCCUUUUUUUUUUUUUUUUCCCAGCUAAACUCUGUCCCAACCUCAACAGAAACUUUUUUAAAACCAUGGGAAAUAACAUAUUUUGAAAAUCAACCCAGACUACUAUUCUCAGCAAAUUGAUCAUAAUUGAAAAAGAAGCUUUCUGUGAUGUGGCUGAAAGAACUCAUGACCACUAAGCUAGCUCCAUAGAGAUAACAAAGGGAAUCCUUUGGACUAAAUAGGGCUCUAAAUAUAUCUACGAAGGUAUAGGAGCAAGCAAACCUUUUUAGUUAAGCAAGAAAUGGGAAAACACUAUUCUAAGACCAACAAAAUGACAGGAGUUAAUACAGUUCUGUUAACACUUUUCCCUAAUCGGAAUACACAGGCUGAUAGGAUUGAAUUUUUUUUUUAAAGAUUUAUUUAUUAUAUGUAAGUACACUGUAGCUGUCUUCAGACACUCCAGAAGAGGGCGUCAGAUCUUGUUACAGAUGGUUGUGAGCCACCAUGUGGUUGCUGGGAUUUGAACUCCGGACCUUCGGAAGAGCAGUCGGGUGCUCUUACCCACUGAGCCAUCUCACCAGCCCCGGUAGGAUUGAAUUUUAAAAAAGGAUUUGUUGCUACCAAGAAACACACCUUAGGCCUGGAGAGAUGGCUCAGUGGUUAAGAACACUGGCUGUUCUUCUAGAAGACCCAGGUUUCCACAUAGCAGCUCACAACUGUCUGUAACUCUAGUUCCAGAGGAUCUAACACCCUCACACAGACAUAAAUGCAGGCAAAACACCAAUGCACAUGGGGAAAAAAGAAAGAAGCACACCUCACCACAAAAGACAGAUAAAGCUAUCUACCAUAGGGUUAAAGGAUGGGGAAAGGUAAUUCAGUCAAAUGGAACGAGGAAACAAGCCUUUGUCGUUAUUCAGAAGAGUCACUCCAUACUCAUCAAGGGAACAGUCCAUUAAGAGGACAUUAUAAUUCUAAAAUCUAUAUUGAAGAUAGGUACACACAGUUUCAUAAAGCAAAUACUACUAAUGUGUGAACUCACACAUUAAUCCUAGCAUAGUAUACCUUCACAGUUUUGCCUCAAGGAUAUAUUAACUCUCCUGCCCUGUGUCAUAAUUUAGUUAGAAGGGAUCUUGAUCGUUUGGAUCUUCCACAAAAUAUCACAUUGGUGCACUAUAUUGAUGACAUUAUGCUGAUUGGAUCAAGUGAGCAGGAAGUAGCAACCACUUUGGACUCAUUGGUAACACAUAUGCGUAUCAGAGGAUGGGAAAUAAAUCCAACCAAAAUUCAAGGACCAUCUACCUCAGUGAAAUUCUUAGGAGUCCAGUGGUGUGGGGCAUGCAGAGAUAUUCCUUCUAAGGUGAAAGAUAAGUUAUUGCACCUGGCCCCUCCUACAACCAAGAAAGAAGCACAACGUUUAGUGGGUCUAUUUGGAUUCUGGAGACAACACAUCCCUCACAUCACUCCUUCAUCUUUGUUGACUGCAACAAAUUGCUUUCUCCUGGGCUGGUUCCACUCCCUUUUAGCAGCUUUCCUCAGCAUGUAUCCCAUGGCUCUGGCAUCUUUAACAUCUUUGAGUCUCCAAGGCAAUUUCAAUGUUACAGCUUCUUGUUUCAGUGUCUGGGACUCCACUUGAUAUUUUGGACUCCUCCUAAGGGCUGGCAUCACUUUUCCAGCUCUGCGCUCUGUAGCACUCUAAGCUCAGGUUGAUCCAUUCCACUAUGGCUGCUGUUCUUGGUGAUCAUCCCAUGGUACUGACAUCUCCAAUACACUGGGGUAUUCCACUCCAAUUAGGCUUCACCAAUAGCCUCUCAUAGGCUCUCUUCAGGGUGCCAAGCCUCAAAUCCUUUGCAUGACCCCUUCAGUCCUGGGCCAUCAACUACAGCUGAGGCUUCACCUUCUCCAAUGGCCUUCCCUGGCCUCUCACAGUGCUAAGCCUCAACUCCUCUCCAUGAUCCCUUCAUUCCUUCACAAGUGUUUGAUAUUCACCAACUGACAGGUCAUCCCAACAAAAAUAAAUUUAAAAACAGAUUGUCCAAUAGGACAUGAAGGAAGUUAUAACAAGUGUAAAUGCUAAUGGCAAUUAAGCAAAGCACUCCUUUAAUGAAUAAGUCAUUGAAGAAAUAAGUUUAAAAAAAUCCCUACUAACAAAUGAGAGUGAAAUAUCAAAAUGUGGGGUACAAUGAAAGCAGGCCUAAGAGGAGGAUCAUUGCUGUAAGUGCUCACAUUUAAGAGAUCAGAUAGAUUUCAGUUUGACAGUUAAGACCUUAAGAUCUUGGAUAAAAAAGAAAACAAUGAAAUUCAGAAAAUCAUCAGGACAUGCCUUAAAAAACAUAUAUUACAUGGAAAAUCCAGGAACAUGGACAGUUUUCUGGAUAUAUAGACAAAUCAAAAUUAAAUCAAAGUGAUAUCUUUUUAACAAAUUUAUAAUAAGCAACACUGUUGAAGCACUUAUUUAAGAAAUGAAAGGAGAGCGGUUGGAGAGAUAGCUCAGUGGUUAAGAGCAGUGACUGCUCUUCCGAAGGUCCUGAGUUCAAAUCCCAGCAACCACAUGGUGGCUCACAACCAUCCAUAAUGAGAUCUGAUGCCUUCUUCUGGAGUGUCUGGAGACAGCUACAGUGUACUUACAUAUAAUAAAUAAAUAUUUAAAGAAAAAAAAAAAAAGAAAUGAAAGGAGAGCCGAGCAUGGUGGCACACGCCUUUAAUCCCAGCACUUGGGAGGAAGAGGCAGGCGGAUUUCUGAGUUCGAGGCUAAAAAAAAAAAAAAGAAGAAGAAGAAAUGAAAGAAGAAAGGAAGGAAAAAGAGGAAGGAAGGAAAGAAAAAAGAAAAGAGAAAAGAAAAGAAAGAUUAAUUUCCUGAAAGAGAGAGCCGGACUUGGAUGAGUGUGACUGCUGAGUUCCGCUGACUUCUAAGAGCUAAGGCAGGGAAGGAGGAGGCACUUUCAGGGAGUUUUCUCAAACCAGUGCCCAGUACCAAAACAAGAUACAGACAUAACAAAAGAAGAUUAUAGAACAAGCUACAUGGCUGUAAAAAUUCUCAGCCAAAUAUUUGCAUGUUGAAAUCAAUAGUGCAUCAAAAGAUCAUGAUCAAGUUGUCUUUAUUCUAGAGAUUUACUAUGGUUCAGCCUACAGAAAUCAUCAAUAGGGGGCCAGAGAGAUGGCUCAGCAAUUAGAGCACUGACCACUCUUCCAGAGGUCCUGAGUUCAAUUCCCAGCAACCACAUGGUGGCUCACAACCAUCUGUAAUGAGAUCCGAUGCCCUCUUCUGGUAUGUCUGAAGACAGCUAUAGUGUACUCAUAUAAAUAAAAUGAAUAAAUCUUUUAUAAAAAAACUGAAAAAAAAUCAUCAGUAAAUAUAGUAAUAUACCACAUAAAUGUUUAUUCAAGGAUAGAUAUCAGAUGAUCAUCUCAAUAGAUUCAAAAAGUUUUAUGACAAGCUCUGAAUCCCUUCAUGAUAAAAGCCCUGAAGAGGGGCUUAAAGAGACAGCUUCAUAGUUAAACAAAGCAAUUACUGUGUGGUUCCCAGCAUCUGUGUUGAGUACCUCACAGCCACCUAUCACCGCAGCUCCAGGGGAUCCUGUGCCCUCUUCUGGCCCUCCUUAGGUACCUAUGUGCACAUGCACAUAUACAGACACACAGGCACAUACACAGAUAUACAGGCAGAUAAUAAGUCUUUUAAAAAAUGCAACUAAAAAAGGCCAGUUCAGAAAAAGAUGAUCUUUUUGUGGGUUCUAGAUUUUGAAUAGUUAUAGGAUUAUGUAUGUAUAUAUAAAAAAAAGUAGCAGUGAAAUUAUGUAGAGUAACAAAGGGACAAACAGAGGUGGGGAGAAUA